CUGUACACUGACAUAUCUAUUUUCAACAUAUCCCAAUGCCUCCUGUCGCAAACAAAUAAUAAAAUAAUUUAAAAGAAUAGUUUUUGCACACACAACUUAUAAUGUAUAUCCAUUCUUAUUUUUUUAUCUUCAUAUUUGCUAUUUCUCCAGACUUAAUUAUAAGUGAUUCAGUCACCAGUACUGAAACAGAACUCUCAAGAACAGAAGGAAAGACCGUCACACUCCAGUGCAGCUACUCAACAGAUAGCAGCAAUCCUGUACUCUACUGGUACCGAAAAUAUCCAAAUCAAGCCCUGCAUUACAUCUUACUCCGGGGAGCCAAGUCAGUAAGUAGUUAUGAAGAUAAAGCAGGCUUUACAGAAGGUCGAUUUUCAUCUACAACGACACAUCAUUCAACUGAACUCCAAAUUUCUGCUCUCUCUUUGAGUGACUCUGCCAUUUAUUACUGUGCACUAAGGCCCGGAACUGGAAGUGACAUCAUCCUUGGGGCC
This is a non-coding RNA of Polypterus senegalus (gray bichir), 491 nucleotides long. The record is from the annotation of a RefSeq genome assembly. NCBI's taxonomy places the organism in Eukaryota, Metazoa, Chordata, Cladistia, Polypteriformes, Polypteridae.